GACAACAGAGGUCGCACAUGAAACUGCCACAAUACCAAAAAAAAAACAGAAAUGGAUGGAGAAGGACGGCCCCCUCGAAAGGAAGGAAACGUGAAGAAUAUUCGAUUUUUAACCACCAGCCUUUAUGUAUUUGGAUUCUUGGAUUUGUUUGCUGUGGCUCUGAUCAUUCCUGUAGCAUCAAGACAAGCGACUAAUCUUGGGGCUUCCCCAGCUGCAGUCGGCCUUGUUGGAACUAUUUAUGGAACUUUGCAGUUGAUAUCUGCCCCGCUAGUGGGGAGAUGGAGCGAUGUUGGAGGUCGGAGGUUAACUCUUCUGCUUUGCCUUUUCUUCACCUCUGUUGGGUAUGUCUUGAUGGGUUUAUCUAACUCUAUUGUUUACUACCUACUAGCAAGGGUGCCUUUAGGUAUAUUCAAGCACAGUGUGUCCAUCACCAGGGCCUACCUCGCUGAAAUCACGCCCAAAUCUGAAAGGGCAAGGGUCUUUGGAUACUUCAAUGGCAUCUCCAGCAUCGGCUUCAUCAUUGGACCUCUCAUCGGCGGCCAUCUUGCUGAGAUGGACAACGGUUUCUAUAAAGUUUCUCUCAUCACUUCAGCUCUGUUUGCCCUCUGGUUUGUAUUUGUCCUGCUCUUCAUGACCGAACCUGAACAUAGAGGGCUGCCCAACACCAAGUCAGUCCAAGACUUCACUGCCGAUGAGUUCGGCAGCAAGUUCCACUCCUCGCUGCAUACUUUCAAAGAGAUCAUCAGGUCCGGGCCCGAGCUCUUCUUCAUCCGCUUCCUCCAGGGUUUCUCCGCCACCCUAUUCCGCAGCAACUUCACCCUGAUGUUGGAGCAGAAGUUCGACAGCACCCCCAUCAUCACCGGCCGCAUCAUAUCUUUCGGGUCGUUAGCGAGCGCCCUCUGCGCUAUAGGAGUGGGACGAUUGGUGAAGAUCUACCGCAACCUGCCCCGUCUGUACUUUCAUGCGUGCACCUUGAGGAUAUUCGCCAUUGUGCUGAUCAUCUUCGCGCCGAGCAUACCAUCAUUCCUAGUCUGUUAUUUCCUACUCUCCAUGGGCAACUCUGUAGCCCGUGUCUGCUCCACCAACCUAAGCAUCGAGCGGGGAAAGGUCGAGGACACUGGUGCGUUGCUGGGGCUAAAUCAAUCUGUCAUGUCCGUUUGUAGAACAGUAUCGCCUCUUAUAGCCGGGGUCUCGCAGGAAGUAACCUCCGAAGGACCUGCAAUUCUAUCGGUCAUCCUUUCCAUAGGGACUGCUGGUCUUGUCGCUACCUCAGUUUUAGAAGAAAGAAAGAUCUCUGACAAGGAGAAAAAACUUUGAAUAUAUAUCAGAAAAAGUUAUAUAAUUAAAGGUCAAGUCCACGUAAGAAAUAUGUUUAUUUGAAUAAAAAGAGUAAUAUCAAAGUAGCUUAACACUGAAAAUUUCAUCAAAUCGGAUUUAAAAUGAUAAAGUUAUUUCAUUUUUAAUUUUCGCUUGUUUUUCACAAAAGAGUAACACUCAGUGAUUUUCAAAUGAAAGCGUCAAUGAUGUCCCUCACUCACUAUUUCUUUUGGUUUUUUUUAUUGUUUGAAUUGUACAAUAUUUCAAUUUGUCCAUAUUUUACAAUAAGGACCAACUUGACUGAACCAUAAAAUGUUUGAACAAUGGUACAUGUUAAUCCGCAUAUUCAAGGAGGAAUAAAACUUUGUUUCACCUGACUAUGAGGAGAAAAUGUAAAUAUUACAUAUUUUAUAUGGUAAAAAAAAGAAAUAGUGAGUGGGUGAUGUAAUCAGUACCUUCAUUUCGAUACCGACCAAGAUGAGAAUAUAACUGUUUUGUGAAAUUAAGCAAAACUUUGAAAUGUCAUACCUUUCUUAUUAUACAUUCAAUUUUGAUGAAAUUUUCAUUGUUAUGCUUGUUUUUCUCUUUUUAUUCAAAUCAAUAACGGACUUGCUUUUUCAUUAGUUGCAUUUGUGCCUAUCUUUAGUUAAGUCAUUGUGUCAUCUAUCAGUACUAGUAGAUUCUUGCUCAAUCUAUAUUACUUUAAGUAUUUUGAAAAAAUAUAUUGUAAAAUACUGUAGUGUAUAUGAUAAAAUUUGGUAUUCAUAUUGCAUGAAUUAUCUUAUUUAUCAUACAAGGUGCUUAAAGGGAAAGUCCUCCCCAACAAAAACUUGAUCUGAAUAAUAAGAGAAGAGCAAGUAAAUUGAAUGCUUAAAAUUUCAUAAAACUUGGAUGUUGAAUGAGGAAAAUGUGACUUUUUAAGUUUUGCUUGACUUCACAAUGCAGUUUUAUGACAUCCCAGUGGGUAUGGAUUCUAUGGAAGUUAUUAUUUUUGUAUGUUAUAUGAAAUCCCCCCCUCAUUUAAUACCCCCCCAAAAAAAAAAAAUCCCCAUUUCCAGCAAUGUUUAUAAAGCUCAUCCAAUGUUGCAAAUUUUAUAGGAAGUGGGUUGUGAAAGUAGCCCCCAAAAAUAAGAUAUUAUUUUGCCUGGUAUUUAAAGAUGACUGUCACCCUUGACUCUUUGAAACACCCCCCCCCCCCCCAUACCCUGGUGCUGCCCCUGGAUCUAUGUCAGUAACAUCUAUUCAUAUCUUAAUCCAACAUAUUAUCUGGGCAAGAAAAUCAUGAUUUUACAGAAUUUCUUCAAACUUGUCCCAUUUUGUGAUUCAAUGGGAUUUAGAAGUGCCUUAGCUGACCUAGAAUGAAGGAAACACUGUGCCUUCUACUGCUCGAUACAUGUAUUUGUGAUGGGGAGAAUGGACAUUCCGUUGUUGAAUGUUAUUAAUUUAUUCCAGGGUAUAUUGUUCAAAAAUGUAAAUCAAUAAAUUGAACAGAAUUUUCCAACCUACUCCUAAUUAAAGUGUUAUAAAUGCAUUGUUUAGUACGUUUUAACUAUAUUUAGUACCAUAUCUG
Molecule: RNA transcript, 2887 nt
Organism: Lytechinus pictus (painted urchin)
Lineage: Eukaryota; Metazoa; Echinodermata; Echinoidea; Temnopleuroida; Toxopneustidae
Gene name: major facilitator superfamily domain-containing protein 9-like
Exons: 7
Source: RefSeq, a predicted model, not a curated record